AUACAUGCAAGUCGAGCGGAUCUCUUCGGAGGUCAGCGGCGGACGGGUGAGUAACACGUGGGCAACCUGCCUGUAAGACUGGGAUAACUCCGGGAAACCGGAGCUAAUACCGGAUAUUAUUUCAAACCGCAUGGUUUGACAUUCAAAGACGGUUUCGGCUGUCACUUACAGAUGGGCCCGCGGCGCAUUAGCUAGUUGGUGAGGUAAUGGCUCACCAAGGCAACGAUGCGUAGCCGACCUGAGAGGGUGAUCGGCCACACUGGGACUGAGACACGGCCCAGACUCCUACGGGAGGCAGCAGUAGGGAAUCUUCCGCAAUGGACGAAAGUCUGACGGAGCAACGCCGCGUGAGUGAUGAAGGUUUUCGGAUCGUAAAACUCUGUUGUCAGGGAAGAACAAGUGCCGGAGUAACUGCCGGCACCUUGACGGUACCUGACCAGAAAGCCACGGCUAACUACGUGCCAGCAGCCGCGGUAAUACGUAGGUGGCAAGCGUUGUCCGGAAUUAUUGGGCGUAAAGCGCGCGCAGGCGGUUUCUUAAGUCUGAUGUGAAAGCCCCCGGCUCACCGGGGAGGGUCAUUGGAAACUGGGAAACUUGAGUGCAGAGAGGAGAGU
RNAcentral lists this ribosomal RNA (614 nucleotides) under Bacillus sp. (in: firmicutes). RNAcentral's name for it is "bacterial SSU rRNA". It matches the Rfam family "Bacterial small subunit ribosomal RNA", at positions 51 to 662 of the family's 1533-position model. The record is from RNAcentral. Lineage: Bacteria; Bacillati; Bacillota; Bacilli; Caryophanales; Bacillaceae.